AGAGUUUGAUCCUGGCUCAGGAUGAACGCUAGCUACAGGCUUAACACAUGCAAGUCGAGGGGCAGCAUUUUAGUUUGCUUGCAAACUGAAGAUGGCGACCGGCGCACGGGUGAGUAACACGUAUCCAACCUGCCGAUAACUCCGGAAUAGCCUUUCGAAAGAAAGAUUAAUACCGGAUAGUAUACGAAUAUCGCAUGAUAUUUUUAUUAAAGAAUUUCGGUUAUCGAUGGGGAUGCGUUCCAUUAGUUUGUUGGCGGGGUAACGGCCCACCAAGACUACGAUGGAUAGGGGUUCUGAGAGGAAGGUCCCCCACAUUGGAACUGAGACACGGUCCAAACUCCUACGGGAGGCAGCAGUGAGGAAUAUUGGUCAAUGGGCGAGAGCCUGAACCAGCCAAGUAGCGUGAAGGAUGAAGGCUCUAUGGGUCGUAAACUUCUUUUAUAUGGGAAUAAAGUUUUCCACGUGUGGAAUUUUGUAUGUACCAUAUGAAUAAGGAUCGGCUGACUCCGUGCCAGCAGCCGCGGUAAUACGGAGGAUCCGAGCGUUAUCCGGAUUUAUUGGGUUUAAAGGGAGCGUAGGUGGAUUGUUAAGUCAGUUGUGAAAGUUUGCGGCUCAACCGUAAAAUUGCAGUUGAAACUGGGAGUCUUGAGUACAGUAGAGGUGGGCGGAAUUCGUGGUGUAGCGGUGAAAUGCUUAGAUAUCACGAAGAACUCCGAUUGCGAAGGCAGCUCACUAGACUGUCACUGACACUGAUGCUCGAAAGUGUGGGUAUCAAACAGGAUUAGAUACCCUGGUAGUCCACACAGUAAACGAUGAAUACUCGCUGUUUGCGAUAUACAGUAAGCGGCCAAGCGAAAGCAUUAAGUAUUCCACCUGGGGAGUACGCCGGCAACGGUGAAACUCAAAGGAAUUGACGGGGGCCCGCACAAGCGGAGGAACAUGUGGUUUAAUUCGAUGAUACGCGAGGAACCUUACCCGGGCUUAAAUUGCAACAGAAUAUAUUGGAAACAGUAUAGCCGUAAGGCUGUUGUGAAGGUGCUGCAUGGUUGUCGUCAGCUCGUGCCGUGAGGUGUCGGCUUAAGUGCCAUAACGAGCGCAACCCUUAUCUUUAGUUACUAACAGGUCAUGCUGAGGACUCUAGAGAGACUGCCGUCGUAAGAUGUGAGGAAGGUGGGGAUGACGUCAAAUCAGCACGGCCCUUACGUCCGGGGCUACACACGUGUUACAAUGGGGGGUACAGAAGGCGGCUACCUGGUGACAGGAUGCUAAUCCCAAAAACCUCUCUCAGUUCGGAUCGAAGUCUGCAACCCGACUUCGUGAAGCUGGAUUCGCUAGUAAUCGCGCAUCAGCCAUGGCGCGGUGAAUACGUUCCCGGGCCUUGCACACACCGCCCGUC
This 1396-nucleotide ribosomal RNA is filed under the name uncultured bacterium. RNAcentral describes it as "bacterial SSU rRNA". It matches the Rfam family "Bacterial small subunit ribosomal RNA". The record is from RNAcentral.